RNAcentral lists this ribosomal RNA (253 nucleotides) under uncultured bacterium. RNAcentral describes it as "partial 16S ribosomal RNA". It matches the Rfam family "Bacterial small subunit ribosomal RNA", at positions 524 to 776 of the family's 1533-position model. The record is from RNAcentral.
UACGUAGGGUGCAAGCGUUGUCCGGAAUUAUUGGGCGUAAAGAGCUCGUAGGCGGCCUGUCGCGUCGGAUGUGAAAGCCCGGGGCUUAACCCCGGGUCUGCAUUCGAUACGGGCAGGCUAGAGUUCGGUAGGGGAGAUCGGAAUUCCUGGUGUAGCGGUGAAAUGCGCAGAUAUCAGGAGGAACACCGGUGGCGAAGGCGGAUCUCUGGGCCGAUACUGACGCUGAGGAGCGAAAGCGUGGGGAGCGAACAGG